This 540-nucleotide ribosomal RNA is filed under the name uncultured Thauera sp. RNAcentral describes it as "bacterial SSU rRNA". It matches the Rfam family "Bacterial small subunit ribosomal RNA", at positions 356 to 897 of the family's 1533-position model. The record is from RNAcentral. Lineage: Bacteria; Pseudomonadati; Pseudomonadota; Betaproteobacteria; Rhodocyclales; Zoogloeaceae.
CCCGGAUCUGAAAGCAGCGUGAUCAGCCAUGCCGCGUGAGUGAUGAAGGCCUUCGGGUUGUAAAGCUCUUUCGGCCGGGAAGAAAUCGGCGACUCUAGCGUAGUCGCUGGAUGACGGUACCGGACUAACAAGCACCGGCUAACUACGUGCCAGCAGCCGCGUUAAUACGUAUGGUGCGAGCGUUAAUCGAAAUUACUGGGCGUAAAGCGUGCGCAGGCGGUUUUGUAAUACAGAUGUGAAAUCCCCCGGCUUAACCUGGGAACUGCGUUUGGGACUGCAAGGCUAGAGUACGGCAGAGGGGAGUGGAAUUCCACGUGUAGCAGUGAAAUGCGUAGAGAUGUGGAGGAACACCGAUGGCGAAGGCAGUCCCCUGGGCCUGUUCUGACACUCAUGCACAAAAGCGUGGGGAGCAAACAGGAUUAGAUACCCUGGUAGUCCACGCCCUAAACGAUGUGGACUAGUCGUUCGGACCAUCAAUGCACUGAGUGACGCAGCUAACGCGUGACGUGGACCGCCUGGUCAGUACGGUCGCAAGGUUAA